CUAAGUUAUAAAAUCAUGGACCGUGCCCUAGCUCACCGAUCGCCGACCCUUCUCCCUCCCUCUCGCGCUCGCACGCGCAGGCGGCGCUGUGCGCCGUGCCCGACGCCGCUUCCUCCUCCUUUGUCAGUCUUCUGCUCCCUCUCGUCUCCUCCGUGAGCACCCUUCACCCGAUCCAUCACCAUCGGCGAUGAGAGCCACCAACUGAAUGCCACCCGACGAUGCCCUAGGACGCAGCCGCCGUUGAUCUUUGGGCUACCCCUCCACCCUUCGAUCGAUUGAGCAGUCCCCUAGCCCUUUUGCGCGAGCGGGGUUUGGUGAUGCUACAACCACUGCCGGCACUCGAGAUCCUUCACAGCUGUCUUCUUCUCUCUUCACAGAGACCAUUGAUUCGGCCAUACCCAGGGAUCAAUUGGGAGGUAAAACCUUUUGUGGUAGAAGUUAUUUGAUUGGUGUUUUGAUUGAUGCUUAGAGGUGGCAGUCACUCGUCGGUUACUGAUUGAGUAUCUUCGAGGUGACUUGCUAAUAUAAUGGAGUAGGAUAUCAUAGAGAGUUAUAUUAUUGUGAUGUCUCAGUGGUAAGAAACGGGUUGAUCUAUCUACUUAGAGUAUUUUAUUGCAGUUGUAUUCAUAUACCUAUUUGUUCCUUGUAUGGUUGCCGGUCCCACGGAUAUGGAGGGAGGUAAAUGUAGGUACACAGGUGGAAAGUGCAUAGCGGAGACGUAUAAUUUGCAUAUAUGAAAGAUCAUAUGAUGUGUGUUUAUGCAAUGAUGUAGUGGUAACAUAUUAUACCUUCUAUCAUGGUUUAGUUUAUCUAUAUCGUUAUCUGCACAAUAUUAUGUGUGAUGAUUUGUGUGGUUGGUUCAAUAUGAUAUUGAUUUAAGUGUUCAGCAUGUAGUGAUGUAGACUAAUUAGGUUGUUUUUGGAUGAAUAGAGUAAUGCAAUUAUUCAUUGCCAUGAGAGUUGAUAUAUAUACUUAUGAGAGUAGGUAGUUAGACUCAUAGUCCUCUAGGCUAAGACAUGAUGGUUACAGAACAUAACCGGACAAAACACUUAAUAUCCUACUUGUGGACGAGGGUUUUGUUGGAUGAUAUGAUUAAAUUUAAAUUAAUUAAUUGAAUGAAUUUGUAGGUUGGAUUUAUGUUGAAUUGACUUAUUAGUAAAUGGAUUGCUAAAUGAAUCAAUUUAAGAGUUGAUGAUGUUGGAUUAAAUCUAAUUUAACCAAGGGAUUUAGGUGAAUCGAGAUUCAUAGUUGGAUUGAGAUUUUCCCCUAAUUAAGUUGGGUUUGAGUUUGACUAGUUGGUGCUUAUGAAAUUAGCUAAGUUGUACAAUAUAUAAUUUACAGGAUGUCAUUUCGGGAUGAGCACUCCGACGCGGGGAUUGUUUAGCUCGAGCUAUAUAUUAAAGGCGGGUACUUCUUGCUUUGUUUUUCUUUUAGUACAUUGACCUUAGUGCAUGAAUUAUUUUGGAUAA
Zingiber officinale is the source of this 1469-nucleotide long non-coding RNA. RefSeq lists it as uncharacterized. Lineage: Eukaryota; Viridiplantae; Streptophyta; Magnoliopsida; Zingiberales; Zingiberaceae. The record is from RefSeq and is a predicted model, not a curated record. The transcript has 2 exons.